This 450-nucleotide ribosomal RNA is filed under the name uncultured bacterium. RNAcentral describes it as "partial 16S ribosomal RNA". It matches the Rfam family "Bacterial small subunit ribosomal RNA", at positions 354 to 796 of the family's 1533-position model. The record is from RNAcentral.
GUGGGGAAUUUUGGACAAUGGGCGCAAGCCUGAUCCAGCAAUGCCGCGUGCAGGAAGAAGGCCUUCGGGUUGUAAACUGCUUUUGUACGGAACGAAAAGCCUGGGGCUAAUAUCCCCGGGUCAUGACGGUACCGUAAGAAUAAGCACCGGCUAACUACGUGCCAGCAGCCGCGGUAAUACGUAGGGUGCAAGCGUUAAUCGGAAUUACUGGGCGUAAAGCGUGCGCAGGCGGUUUUGUAAGACAGUGGUGAAAUCCCCGGGCUCAACCUGGGAACUGCCAUUGUGACUGCAAGGCUAGAGUGCGGCAGAGGGGGAUGGAAUUCCGCGUGUAGCAGUGAAAUGCGUAGAUAUGCGGAGGAACACCGAUGGCGAAGGCAAUCCCCUGGGCCUGCACUGACGCUCAUGCACGAAAGCGUGGGGAGCAAACAGGAUUAGAAACCCCAGUAGUCC